AAGACUGGGAUAACUCCGGGAAACCGGAGCUAAUACCGGAUAGUUCCUUGAACCGCAUGGUUCAAGGAUGAAAGACGGUUUCGGCUGUCACUUACAGAUGGACCCGCGGCGCAUUAGCUAGUUGGUGGGGUAAUGGCUCACCAAGGCGACGAUGCGUAGCCGACCUGAGAGGGUGAUCGGCCACACUGGGACUGAGACACGGCCCAGACUCCUACGGGAGGCAGCAGUAGGGAAUCUUCCGCAAUGGACGAAAGUCUGACGGAGCAACGCCGCGUGAGUGAUGAAGGUUUUCGGAUCGUAAAGCUCUGUUGUUAGGGAAGAACAAGUGCGAGAGUAACUGCUCGCACCUUGACGGUACCUAACCAGAAAGCCACGGCUAACUACGUGCCAGCAGCCGCGGUAAUACGUAGGUGGCAAGCGUUGUCCGGAAUUAUUGGGCGUAAAGGGCUCGCAGGCGGUUUCUUAAGUCUGAUGUGAAAGCCCCCGGCUCAACCGGGGAG
RNAcentral lists this ribosomal RNA (500 nucleotides) under Bacillus safensis. RNAcentral's name for it is "bacterial SSU rRNA". It matches the Rfam family "Bacterial small subunit ribosomal RNA", at positions 134 to 620 of the family's 1533-position model. The record is from RNAcentral. Lineage: Bacteria; Bacillati; Bacillota; Bacilli; Caryophanales; Bacillaceae.